CUCGCAAGUGGAGAGUGUUUGCUAGCGCUGUCUGUAGAAAACGCCGUUUUUACCGUUCUUCCUGCUGUAAACGCCACUAUUUUGUUCAGAAAAAAAACAUCACGUGUAUUUUUUAUCAUAACUCUGGUUUUACGUGGCCCAUCGACACAAUUCAAAAACUGGUAUAUAGUUUGAAGUCUGCACUUUCGACCCAAGGUGAAAUGGAGACUCUGACUUACUGCAUCUUGUAGCUGUGUCGUCUUAAAUUGGUCAUGUGAUUUUGACGCGCCGGCGCGUCCGGCGACCCCAGAGGGUUAAUUCUUCAAAGUGUUCGACAAGGCCCUGGAAACAUUCCUCAUGUCCACAUGGACAUGAUGGCAUCACGCAGUUGCUGCAGAUUUGUUCUCUCUAUUUGUGUGCGUGUGUGUGGUAACCACACCUUACCUUUCAGGGACAGGAUCCUCUUCGUCCCAGCCCAACUAGUUUAAGUCUUCAUGAGGGUCAGGUGUGGGAAAAUGCCCCCUAGCAUUUCCUCAUUUUAAGUCCUGAUGACAUCACACAUGACAUCAGCAGGUCGAACCAAGUGGAGGGGUUUCUUUUUCCAUAGAAAUGCUUCCUCUGAAGGGAUUUGUUGAAUCUUUUUCUUUUUGUUAAUAGAGCCAUUUAGUUGUGUAAAUGUGCUAAUUAGACGUGUGAGGAGGUUUUGUCUUUUUUAAUCAUCUGUGU
Molecule: long non-coding RNA, 705 nt
Organism: Astatotilapia calliptera (eastern happy)
Lineage: Eukaryota; Metazoa; Chordata; Actinopteri; Cichliformes; Cichlidae
Source: Ensembl